UGCUAAGCAACUCCUAUCCCUACCUCCUCGUAGUAUUGGCCGGAGUACGAGCGACCUUAGGGAAGA
Molecule: ribozyme, 66 nt
Filed under: Aedes aegypti (yellow fever mosquito)
Lineage: Eukaryota; Metazoa; Arthropoda; Insecta; Diptera; Culicidae
Description: drz-agam-1 ribozyme
Rfam family: drz-agam-1 ribozyme
Source: Rfam by way of RNAcentral